Long non-coding RNA from Vicia villosa (hairy vetch), 14248 nucleotides. RefSeq lists it as uncharacterized. The transcript is spliced from 3 exons. NCBI's taxonomy places the organism in Eukaryota, Viridiplantae, Streptophyta, Magnoliopsida, Fabales, Fabaceae. The record is from RefSeq and is a predicted model, not a curated record.
UUAGAAUAAUAUUUAUAUUUUAGAAAAUAAUCAAUUUAAAUUAGUUAGAAUAAUAAAAAUCUAAAUUUACGAAUAUUUUAUUAAUUACUUUGAUCCAUUUGAAUUUUAUCUUUCCAAUUUUGUUAACCUAAUUUUACACUAUAAAUUGUCACAAUUUCUACACUUUUAGGGGACGGCUCUCACUACCGACAAUUUCGUGACCCUUCUUUUUUGAACAUUCUUUCUACUCUGUAAAUAAACCCUUUCACGUAACAAUAACAACUAACAAUUAACCCUUAUUUUCUCGAUACUCUUUCUGCACAACAAGUAACCCUUAUUUUUUCUCAUUCUCACAAAAAAUCACUUUUUUCAAUUACACCAAACUUCAUGGAGCCUGCAAGAAAAGAUUCUAGCACCAACAUUCAGAAUAAGCCUUUAUUAUAAACCAUCACAGCACAAUACAAAGGUUGCAACACCAUAUAACAUAAUUUGUGCAAAAUUUUGUUUUUUUUCUUUCUUUGGUUGUUGUUCUGAGUUACAGGAAACAAGAAGAAGGAGAAUCCAUAUCACCACCGCGUGGAGUUGUCCCGAUCGCCCCUCGUACAUCGAAGGCUCAGCACGGACAAAAGAUCUUCGCCGUGGAUCCACCAUUCAGCUCCGCCGUUUCCGGCCCAGUCAACGCCGACGACUACACCACCGCCACGCAUCUACGAUGGAAACACGGUAUGUCGUCUUUCGAUGUCGAUUUGUUUUUUUGACUGAUAUCUAUUUCGGGUUCUUGUUGAAGAUAGAUAGACAGAUAUGGAGGGAAGAUCAUUAUGGUUCUGCCCUUUGUAGUAAGAGAAAUUGAUUUUUGUGAAAAAGAAAUUGAGGAAGGAGAGGUCAAGAAUUCACGCCUACACACCAACAGCCGGAAUCGCAACAACCGUGAAUCUGACAGCACCGACAACCUCCGGCCGAUACGCUCAUCGCCCAGCCGCCGCAUCCAAACCGGAACCACCUACAGAUUCCGGCGCCUCAUCAUCAGCAUCGCACCAACAACCCUCCACCGACGCAGUGCCACGAACAUACGGUCGAUUAAUCUCUUCUAAUCACUGUUGAUUUCUUGUUUUCUAUGAUUUUGUUUGUUUGUUUGAUUUAGAUUGAGGCUUUGGGAAUUGUAAGAAGAGGAUUUUUUUUGGCUCUGAGAGAAAAGAGGAAGGCAAGCGUGAAUGAGAAAGAAGUCCCGUCAGAUUUUAUUUCCAUCAUAAUUUGGUAUAUUUUUUUUUGUUUUUGGUUUCUAAUUAUUUAAUUUUGAUAAGUGAUACUUUUUCCAUGAACCCUUGAGAUUAGAAAUUAGAGUUAUAUUGGUUUAUUAUUUCUAUUUAAUAAUUGUGCCAUUUUUUUUUUCCUAUUUUAGCGUACUGUUACGAUUACAUGUGUAUAACAAACCCAUUUGUUUGUUUUUACAUUAGGUGUUAGAUCUUUAGCAUUUUAAAACAAGACAUGUUCUUCUUGUUAACAAAAUGUGGUACAUUUUAUAGAUUAGAAUUUUAAUUCAAUAUUUACUAUUUCAUUAUACUAAAAAACAUCAUGUAUUAAAUAAACAAAUUGUUAUCUUAGAGUUUAGUUUUUUUUUCCUUAUUACUAAAAACAUCUAACCCAUUCAAAAAACACUAAAAAUUUAACUUCACAUAUAAUUCAAUUGUUAGAUUUAUUCUUGAUAAUAUUUAUUCAUAUUUUUGUCAUUAUUCAUAAUUUUAUAUAUUCAUACUAUCAUUUUUUUUUUAUUGCGAGGUACGUUCGAACUGCUUAUCUAUUCUCGGGGUAUUCGCAAAUUCAUCCUCACUCUCACCACGAGAUCUCCGAUAAUCCAGAUCUAAUGUCCAAGAGCUGCACCUCUACCAUGCACCUUCACAAGGGAGCCACACAAGAUCUCAAGGUUAACCAAAAUCCUUCACCCAUGCGCCAUGCCAAUCGAAAAGCUAAGUUCCUGAAUUCAUAUUUUAUUUGAUAUCAUUUUAUUUUGCCUCUUUUAAUUAAAAUAGGAUUAGCUUCAAUCGCCAAUGAAUUGGUAAUACACUCACAUUUUUCUGCCGUUGCCUUUGCCAUUUUUCAGGAUUAACCCCGAGACUUCCUCCGACUGUCAACCAUGUCAGAUCAAAUUCAAAGCUAAGUGCCUUUUAUUUAUUUAUUUUAAUUCCUUUUAUCUUUUUAUUUUUAGGGUUAGUAAUGUUUGCCUCCGAACCGAUAAUGCGCUCACCCUAUUUUUGUUUUUCACCUUUUCAGGGUUUGUCAAUUGCCAAAGCCUCGAGUAUCGGUAACCCUAAACCCUGCUUUAUUAUUACUUGUGUCAAACCCUGAUUAAGGGAUCCACUGGUUUCAUUGUCCCCUCUCCCAUAUUUACUGUUGUUUUUGCCUUACAUUAUCUGCGUGGCUAGUAAUUUAGGGAGUGAUAACCUCGAAUUGAACCUAGAAUGACUAAUUACAAGAUAAAUAACUGAAUCAAAUCACGUGAUUGGUGCACACACGCACGCUUUUGGGUAACCUCUAUGUUGCCUGUUGCCUUUGUGUUUUUUGCAGAAUAAGCCAUGUCCCUCGAAUUUGAGGAUACCUCAGCCAUGCUGCCUCGAUAAUUAAAGGUCAUACGACCCUAAAUGAUGCUGCCUUCGAUACACAAAUAUGACCUCGACCCUCGGAAGUUGCCUACGGAAAAAGGCUGAGGUAUCUUCUGGCUGCCUACGAAAAGGCUUAUUCUGAUCCUUCCCCUUAGACUACCUGCCCCUCUAUGGCAUGGGUCAGUCUUUGGGCGAACGAUAACUCGACGACCCUUCAACCUCCAAACGAAAGGCUUCCUGCCCUCUUAUGGCAAGGAUUGACCCUUUCAUUCUGAAAGGCUAAAAAGAGACCUAUCAUCUGAGUUUAAGGUAAUUGCCCCUAAUUGCCUUGCAAUGCUCAAUUUUCAUAUUCUUUCUCACAAUUCUUCAAAAACUGGCUACGCUCAUUUACGAGCUAAAGUCCACUUUUUUUCUUUCAUCUACUUUUUCUAAAGACAAACGAGCAAGCAAAGCAAUUAAGAGCCCAUGGAAAACCAUGGAUGCAAAGGGUGCCUUACACCUUCCCUUUGCAUAAAUUACCCCCCGAACUCAGAUUUCUUUAAAAGGUUUUUUUCUGUUUCUUUUUGCCUUUCUGAUUUAGUUUGGAUAAAAUAAAAGUCGGUGGCGACUCAUGCUUAACCGCGACAUUUCGAUCGAUAUAAAAGUCAGUUCACCGUAUUACAGAACUGGCGACUCUGCUGGGGAUAAAUUUCGAUAAAAGAGGGGUUACCUUAAAAGUUUAGGAUUCACCUUAAAUGUUUUCUAUUGUUUGCUUUGUUUGCUUUAAUUUUGCAGGGCUGUUUUGGGUAUUUUGCUGUGUGAAAGAUCCUAACCCGGAUCUGAGUACCUUAGGUAUAUGGCAUGAGAUCAAGGAGACUGCACAGCGUAUACUGAUGUGGUUGAUCUGAUGGCCAUCGUUAGUGUGACACAUUGGUUUGUCCUGGUGUUCCUUGGGAUCCGACCUGAGGAAAUGCUUGGCUGCCGCGUGGUGUCAUUAAGCACUAAUUCGCCCUUAGAACCUUAGUCGAACUUGACUUUAGCCUGUUAGAAAGUAGCGAGAUGGCUGGCUUUGGUUCCGACUGAAGUUGGUUGAUACUCGAAGCUACACUCAUAUGGACUGGACUUUCAGGACCUUUUCGGUUGGCGAUUCGAUUGCCGAACUGAGAUAAGCGCCUUCGAGAAAGGUCAAUGAUAUGAGCUCCCUAGAACCCGAUCUUUAUAUAGGACAGGUUUGAACCAACUAAACUUCAGGAGGAGGGUACAUACCUUUUGACCACGUGCAAGCCUAACCAUAAGGCAAAAUUGUGUGGCUUGUGUGACUUGCGUGACUUGUUUAUGUUUGCUACUAGCCUUCUUUUCCUUGCAGGUUUUGUUAAAAGGACUUGUUUGUCCUUACUACCCUACACUAUGCCUAAUGAACUGCAUUUGCAUAACUUCAUGACAUCAUGACAUCAUAAGCAUAACAUGAUUUAACUGACCCUUUUCAAGGAUCUUAGGGAUUUAGGGCGCACUAUUUCAGGUGCUCUUAUCAAGGACUGAAUUCCUAAUCAAGGGGCAAGAGGAUUUAUUUUCCUUAAGCCGCAUGCCUUCCAAUUCAAAGACUCAGUACCUAUCAAGGGGCAAGAGGAUUUAUUUUCCUCUAGCCAUGUAUCUUAAAAUUCAGAAGUCUCCCGAAUCAGAGGCGAUGACCCACUCGAUAUGGUGAGCUUGAUUCUCAAAGAAAGACGUUCAGAGACAAAGUUCAGAUUUCUUCAAAUAAGGACGCGGCCAAAUCAUUUUCUAAUGUUGCUAACUAAAUGCCUAAAGAUCCUUGAAAGUAUUGCAUUUGCAUUCAUAACAUCGCAUAACAGGUUUCUUACCACAGGUUUCUCACCUCCUUGCUGUUUAUUUCAGCAUCAUGAAUCUCGAGCAAUCAGUCAAAAAUCUUCAGGCUCAGAAUAACCAGUUCCAGAAAAUAAUUUUUCACUUGGCCAAGGGGCAAGAAGAAUUGAAGGCACUUCAGAUAGAGAAAGAGAAGAAUCAAUAUAAGCAUCAAGGUGGUCAAGAUAAUCAGAGAUCCAAGCCUAAGCGGUCAUUUACUCCAUUACGUAUACCGCUGUCUCAAGUUCUCCAACAACUGCUCAAUCAGAAUUUGAUAACUCUACUACCUCCAUAUUCAUUUCCUACCAACCCCACUACUGGGUAUAAGUACCAUGCGAGAUGCGCUUAUCAUUCGAAUAGUCCUGGUCAUGAUACGAAGGAUUGUUGGCAAUUGAAACACAAGAUUCAAGACUUAAUUGAUGAAAAGAUCAUUGACUUCAACUCACCUGAAGAACCUCACAUGACUAAGGCUGUGUACAAUCGGAAAGGUCGCAAUGAACACAAUCAAUCUGUGGGGGCAUUUCUGAUCUCUACACCAAUUCCACAACAAAGGCGCAAGUCAGAGGUACCUAAACGACAGUUCACAAAGAUCAACAUGACUUUGGCUGAAGCAUUACAACAGAUGUUGAAGAAAGGGCUAAUUACUUUGAGGGAUCCUCCUGUGAAGCCCAACACUUUCGCUCCUAGCUAUAAGCCUAAUGCGAGGUGCGCGUAUCACUCCAAUAGCCCUGGACAUGAUACGAAUGAUUGUUGGCCAUUAAAGAACAAGAUUCAAGACAUGAUCGAUGCUGGUGAAAUUGAAUUCCCUCAUCCCAAGACUCCUGUAAUAAUCACUGCUCCCAUGCACAAUCACGACAAGACUGAUUAAUGUCAGAGUGGAUGAACUUUAGAUCAUUAGAUUUACUUUCAUUUGCAAUUUCUAUUCUGUUUGUUUAAACAUUCAAAAUUAUGAUAGACAUUAUCUGUCUUAAUAAUCAUCAUCAGUGCAUUGCAUAUGUUUGUCUUGAAUAAAUUAUUUCGUUAUCACUCAUUUUAAAUUAUGUUUUUACUUUGCAUGUGUUUUGUGAUAUUCAACUCCCGCUAAAGUUGUAAGCCUUUUAAGGGAGGAUGACGAAAACGAUACCGCAACCUCAUACAGUAUGCUUUUGAGCGGACUAUGCUGACGAUGUACAGGCAUUGUUUCAAUUCCUAAACAGCGGAGAUAUAAGGAUGUUAAUCCCUCGUCAACCCCCUUUGAGCCUAAGAAGUAGAAGUUUCUUUUUUUUUGUAUUGAAACCCUUGAUCAUAACCUGGGGCAGGGUAGUUCUCAGUUUAAUUUGGCUGUGCAUUCUAUUUUAAGAUAAUCACUCAUUACACCUUUCAACAAGGAUUUCAAUCACAAGCAUUCAUCCGCACACAUCAAAGGAGUGUUGGAGAUGUCAAUGAAAAGACAAUGAUGGUUCAUCAAUCAUCAAACAAGGCAGUCAAUAUCUUUCGAAAGGGAAAAAAAUGAAAAAACAUAUACACCAAGAAAAGCCUGCUAAGUCAAGAAUCAAAAAGGUGACUUAGGCAAAAAUCAAGGCAUCCCGCUGACUGUAAUCUAAAAAGAAAAAAAAACAGUUCAGGCAAAAAUUAGGGAUAUCAAAAGGAUGAAAACAGAGAAGUCAAUAAGUUCCUGAACAACACAAUGUUGUAACUACCAAAAGGAAGAAGUGACUGCCAUCUCAAAAGUUAUCUUUGCUUGUGAACUAUCAUCAUUAUCAAAGGUGCAAAUCCAAAAGUUUCUUGGAACCUGAAUGCAUAAGUUUGAUUUAGCUGAGCUUAGGACUGAAGAUCAUCACGAAGAGGGGUGGGUACAAUAAACUUUGAGCCAUUAUCCUUUGUUUCUUAAAACCGUGAACCAAGCCACGUUACAACCCUUGAAAGUCCUAAUUGAAGCAUGGUUAGUUCGAAAGCGUACUGUCACCAAAAGGGUAUCCUGACUCCUUAAGGUUUACCAAAAAUGCUGAGUUGAUAUUUCUUUUUUACAAACAUCACAUUGUUACAAAUAUCAUGCUUUUACAAAUGUCAUGCUUUAUUACAUCCUGUUUUAAAUGUUUCAAAAAAACUCAAGACAAACGUAUGCAUUGCAUCUCACGAAUUCAUUAUUAAACAUAUUCUGCUACAUAAUUUCAAAAGUUAGCAUCAGAAAAAACUUGCACAGGGUACAACUAAUGACUGAAAGUUAUCCCGAUAGACAAAAUUACUCCGAGAAGCGAUGUCUCUACGUAUACAAGGGGCAUGGCCCGUUUUGCCCAAUCAAUCUGGGGCAAUCAAGUCAAGAUUCCGAGAAUCUCUUAUGGAUACUCGAGCAAUCAGGGGCACGCAUCCAAGUAUACCUAAAGAUACCCCCCAAUCAACAUGGGACAUUGUCUUGAGCCUAUGAGCGCUGGGAGCAUAUCACCCAUAGUGUACCUUUCAUAAAGUCCUCGCGAGGCGAAUCUUACCAAAGUUCCUGCUAACUGGGGAAAAUCUAUGCAAGUCCAAUUUGACAUCUUCGAUUAACACUCAUUGGCACGUUCUAAUCAACACAGAUCCAGGAAUGACAAGUGCUAUAAUACUGGGGGCAACUCUCAAGACACCCAUGUCCCCCCACAGAGCCAGGUUCAUAAAAUCACAUCCCCACAGAGCCAGGUUCAUAAAAUCACAUCCCCGCAGAGCCAGGUUCAUAAAAUCACAUCCCCAACAGAGUUGACAUCUUCAACACCACCGACACUUUGUUCUUCUCCAACAUGGCUUACUAAUAUCUUUCAUCCCCAGUCAGGAUCCAUCAAAUUACUAUUCAUCCCCAAGCAGAAGUCAUAAAUCCCCAGCUAAACAUCUUCAAGACAAGACCAGACGUCAAAAUCACAAAGACAUAGAGAUUUAUUUUCUCGAAAAAGACAACAUAAAUCAUAUUUCGCAUACCAUACGGCACAAACAUAUUCAUACAUCGCAUACAUCACCUCAUAAACAUACAAAGUCUCUCAUUUAUUUUGAGGUACUCAUUACAUAACACAUGCAUCAUGACAUAAGAAAACUAACCUUUACUUUUCAGGAUAUUGCUGUCUCUGUUUUCAAAGUUAAGUCGACACCUUUGACGGUUCCUUAACGACCUUUCAGAAUUAAGUCGAUACCUUUGACGGUUCCUUAAUAAUCCAUUUCAAAGUUAAGUCGACACCUUUGACGGUUCCUUAACGACCUUUCAGAAUUAAGUCGAUACCUUUGACGGUUCCUUAAUGAUCAACAUUUCAGAUUUAAGUCGAUACCUUUGACGGUUCCUUAAUGAUCUACCUUUGGAAGUUAAGUCGAUACCUUUGACGGUUCCUUAAUGAUCCACCUUCAUAUCUGAGUCGAUACCUUUGACGGUGCCUCAGUGAUAUGCUUCGAAUUUAAGUCGAUACCUUUGACGGUUCCUUAAUGAUCUAUCUCCAGAGUUAAGUCGACACCUUUGACGGUUCCUUAACAACCUUCCAGAAUUAAGUCGAUACCUUUGACGGUUCCUUAAUAAUCCAAUGCAGAGUUAAGUCGACACCUUUGACGGUUCCUUAACAACCUACUUCAAAUGUAAGUCGAUACCUUUGACGGUUCCUUAUACAAUCUACCUUCAUAUCUGAGUCGAUACCUUUGACGGUGCCUCAGUGAUAUGCUUCGAAUUUAAGUCGAUACCUUUGACGGUUCCUUAAAUAAUCCAAUUCAGACUUGAGUCAAUACCUCAGACGGUUCCUCAAAAAAUCAACAUUCAAAGGCUAGAAGCAGAAACCUCGCAAUAAUCAAUACCCCAACAGCUAUUGGAUGGCAUCUUCAAAGCCCAUCUCUGACAAAAGUCCCUGCCUUAGCUAGGGCAAAUUUCUUGGUAUUCUAGUGUUCAAUCAUCUUCCACCUUCAGAUACCGACUGGCAUACAAACCACUCCACAUCUUCAGGUUUAAGAAAAUUGAACAGGGGCAGCUGUCAUACCCCAAAAUUUGCCCUCAUAUAUUUACAAACAUCAUUUUAUUUUGAAUAAAUGAAUUGGCAUAGUUGGUAAGAAUUUGAGCGUGAAAAGCACAAUAGCGAGAGGUCCCUGGUUCGAAUCUCACUUCUAACAUUUUUCCCUUUUAUUUAAUUCUAACUUUAUUUCACUUUUGUUCAAAAAAUGACAAAAAAUGUUUUUAUAUAUUUAAGUAUUAUUUUCAUAUUCAUUGUUUAUUAAAAAUACCUUUUUUACUUCAUUCAUAUUUUAUUCAAAAAUUAAAAAUAUUUAAAAAAAAAAAAAUUUUGCUUUUCUUUGCAUUUUAGAAUAAUAUUUAUAUUUUAGAAAAUAAUCAAUUUAAAUUAGUUAGAAUAAUAAAAAUCUAAAUUUACGAAUAUUUUAUUAAUUACUUUGAUCCAUUUGAAUUUUAUCUUUCCAAUUUUGUUAACCUAAUUUUACACUAUAAAUUGUCACAAUUUCUACACUUUUAGGGGACGGCUCUCACUACCGACAAUUUCGUGACCCUUCUUUUUUGAACAUUCUUUCUACUCUGUAAAUAAACCCUUUCACGUAACAAUAACAACUAACAAUUAACCCUUAUUUUCUCGAUACUCUUUCUGCACAACAAGUAACCCUUAUUUUUUCUCAUUCUCACAAAAAAUCACUUUUUUCAAUUACACCAAACUUCAUGGAGCCUGCAAGAAAAGAUUCUAGCACCAACAUUCAGAAUAAGCCUUUAUUAUAAACCAUCACAGCACAAUACAAAGGUUGCAACACCAUAUAACAUAAUUUGUGCAAAAUUUUGUUUUUUUUCUUUCUUUGGUUGUUGUUCUGAGUUACAGGAAACAAGAAGAAGGAGAAUCCAUAUCACCACCGCGUGGAGUUGUCCCGAUCGCCCCUCGUACAUCGAAGGCUCAGCACGGACAAAAGAUCUUCGCCGUGGAUCCACCAUUCAGCUCCGCCGUUUCCGGCCCAGUCAACGCCGACGACUACACCACCGCCACGCAUCUACGAUGGAAACACGGUAUGUCGUCUUUCGAUGUCGAUUUGUUUUUUUGACUGAUAUCUAUUUCGGGUUCUUGUUGAAGAUAGAUAGACAGAUAUGGAGGGAAGAUCAUUAUGGUUCUGCCCUUUGUAGUAAGAGAAAUUGAUUUUUGUGAAAAAGAAAUUGAGGAAGGAGAGGUCAAGAAUUCACGCCUACACACCAACAGCCGGAAUCGCAACAACCGUGAAUCUGACAGCACCGACAACCUCCGGCCGAUACGCUCAUCGCCCAGCCGCCGCAUCCAAACCGGAACCACCUACAGAUUCCGGCGCCUCAUCAUCAGCAUCGCACCAACAACCCUCCACCGACGCAGUGCCACGAACAUACGGUCGAUUAAUCUCUUCUAAUCACUGUUGAUUUCUUGUUUUCUAUGAUUUUGUUUGUUUGUUUGAUUUAGAUUGAGGCUUUGGGAAUUGUAAGAAGAGGAUUUUUUUUGGCUCUGAGAGAAAAGAGGAAGGCAAGCGUGAAUGAGAAAGAAGUCCCGUCAGAUUUUAUUUCCAUCAUAAUUUGGUAUAUUUUUUUUUGUUUUUGGUUUCUAAUUAUUUAAUUUUGAUAAGUGAUACUUUUUCCAUGAACCCUUGAGAUUAGAAAUUAGAGUUAUAUUGGUUUAUUAUUUCUAUUUAAUAAUUGUGCCAUUUUUUUUUUCCUAUUUUAGCGUACUGUUACGAUUACAUGUGUAUAACAAACCCAUUUGUUUGUUUUUACAUUAGGUGUUAGAUCUUUAGCAUUUUAAAACAAGACAUGUUCUUCUUGUUAACAAAAUGUGGUACAUUUUAUAGAUUAGAAUUUUAAUUCAAUAUUUACUAUUUCAUUAUACUAAAAAACAUCAUGUAUUAAAUAAACAAAUUGUUAUCUUAGAGUUUAGUUUUUUUUUCCUUAUUACUAAAAACAUCUAACCCAUUCAAAAAACACUAAAAAUUUAACUUCACAUAUAAUUCAAUUGUUAGAUUUAUUCUUGAUAAUAUUUAUUCAUAUUUUUGUCAUUAUUCAUAAUUUUAUAUAUUCAUACUAUCAUUUUUUUUUUAUUGCGAGGUACGUUCGAACUGCUUAUCUAUUCUCGGGGUAUUCGCAAAUUCAUCCUCACUCUCACCACGAGAUCUCCGAUAAUCCAGAUCUAAUGUCCAAGAGCUGCACCUCUACCAUGCACCUUCACAAGGGAGCCACACAAGAUCUCAAGGUUAACCAAAAUCCUUCACCCAUGCGCCAUGCCAAUCGAAAAGCUAAGUUCCUGAAUUCAUAUUUUAUUUGAUAUCAUUUUAUUUUGCCUCUUUUAAUUAAAAUAGGAUUAGCUUCAAUCGCCAAUGAAUUGGUAAUACACUCACAUUUUUCUGCCGUUGCCUUUGCCAUUUUUCAGGAUUAACCCCGAGACUUCCUCCGACUGUCAACCAUGUCAGAUCAAAUUCAAAGCUAAGUGCCUUUUAUUUAUUUAUUUUAAUUCCUUUUAUCUUUUUAUUUUUAGGGUUAGUAAUGUUUGCCUCCGAACCGAUAAUGCGCUCACCCUAUUUUUGUUUUUCACCUUUUCAGGGUUUGUCAAUUGCCAAAGCCUCGAGUAUCGGUAACCCUAAACCCUGCUUUAUUAUUACUUGUGUCAAACCCUGAUUAAGGGAUCCACUGGUUUCAUUGUCCCCUCUCCCAUAUUUACUGUUGUUUUUGCCUUACAUUAUCUGCGUGGCUAGUAAUUUAGGGAGUGAUAACCUCGAAUUGAACCUAGAAUGACUAAUUACAAGAUAAAUAACUGAAUCAAAUCACGUGAUUGGUGCACACACGCACGCUUUUGGGUAACCUCUAUGUUGCCUGUUGCCUUUGUGUUUUUUGCAGAAUAAGCCAUGUCCCUCGAAUUUGAGGAUACCUCAGCCAUGCUGCCUCGAUAAUUAAAGGUCAUACGACCCUAAAUGAUGCUGCCUUCGAUACACAAAUAUGACCUCGACCCUCGGAAGUUGCCUACGGAAAAAGGCUGAGGUAUCUUCUGGCUGCCUACGAAAAGGCUUAUUCUGAUCCUUCCCCUUAGACUACCUGCCCCUCUAUGGCAUGGGUCAGUCUUUGGGCGAACGAUAACUCGACGACCCUUCAACCUCCAAACGAAAGGCUUCCUGCCCUCUUAUGGCAAGGAUUGACCCUUUCAUUCUGAAAGGCUAAAAAGAGACCUAUCAUCUGAGUUUAAGGUAAUUGCCCCUAAUUGCCUUGCAAUGCUCAAUUUUCAUAUUCUUUCUCACAAUUCUUCAAAAACUGGCUACGCUCAUUUACGAGCUAAAGUCCACUUUUUUUCUUUCAUCUACUUUUUCUAAAGACAAACGAGCAAGCAAAGCAAUUAAGAGCCCAUGGAAAACCAUGGAUGCAAAGGGUGCCUUACACCUUCCCUUUGCAUAAAUUACCCCCCGAACUCAGAUUUCUUUAAAAGGUUUUUUUCUGUUUCUUUUUGCCUUUCUGAUUUAGUUUGGAUAAAAUAAAAGUCGGUGGCGACUCAUGCUUAACCGCGACAUUUCGAUCGAUAUAAAAGUCAGUUCACCGUAUUACAGAACUGGCGACUCUGCUGGGGAUAAAUUUCGAUAAAAGAGGGGUUACCUUAAAAGUUUAGGAUUCACCUUAAAUGUUUUCUAUUGUUUGCUUUGUUUGCUUUAAUUUUGCAGGGCUGUUUUGGGUAUUUUGCUGUGUGAAAGAUCCUAACCCGGAUCUGAGUACCUUAGGUAUAUGGCAUGAGAUCAAGGAGACUGCACAGCGUAUACUGAUGUGGUUGAUCUGAUGGCCAUCGUUAGUGUGACACAUUGGUUUGUUCUGUUGAAAUAUUUUAUACCUUAGUGCAUGACCGUUUCAUUAAUAAUUAUAAGAUUAUUGCUGUUAAUCACCUUAGUAGAAAAAUAGAAGUCAGCGUUCAUAUUUUGGGUACAGAUCAUUGGAGAAGGAUUCGGGACUUCCUAAAUCCUAACCUUAUUCUAGUGUCUAGAUUGGGAACAUUUGUGAAUGACUCAGUUAAAUUGUUGGUAUGUGCUACUGCACGGUUCAUUGUUUCUCUUGAUUUGGAGAAAGAGUCAUAUCAAAAACUCGCACUGCCGGUCUUUGAUGAUAUUACCUCUUUUUUGACCUUAGGGACAUUGCGGGGUUGUUUGUCUCUCCUUUUUGACAAGAGGGACGAGUUUUGUGACAUUUGGAUUAUGAAAGAAUACGAGGAUGACAAAGUGCUGAUGGACUGUGCGAUGAUGGGAAUAAAUAGUUUUGUUGUUUAUGAUCCCAUAAAUAAUAUUUUCAAGAUUCCUAAAUUUCAAUACAGCAACGAGGGUGAGAUGGCACCAGAAGUAUAUAUUGAAAGUUUUAUAUCACCUUUGUAGAUGUUGUGCAUCUUGACCUGGUUUAUAAAUUAACAUAUGAUCUUGUUAUUUGUUUUACGUUUAGUCGGAUUACUAUUUACUUCAUGGUAUAUGCAACUUGAGAAAUUAUUAUGUUUACUGUGGCUAUCUUAAUUAAUAACAAACUCUUUAGUGAUAUGUAUAUUAUGUGAUCAGCUAUUAAAAGGUGCGCCAUGUCACUGACUUAUGGUUAAUGAGGAAUGCUAUUAUCUUUGAUAAUGCCACUUUUAGCUUCUAAGCGGUAAUAUCCAACAUAAUGUUUUACUCUUGGAGAUGGAUGUAUAAUAGUGUUUCCGAUCCUAGGCUCAUUUUUUAUGAUUGGUAUAAAUUACCUUUGAACUAGUUCAACUCUUCUUAGAGUUUUUUCGAUGUAAGGGUUGCACCCCUAGUGCGAUUUCUAAUAUCAUUGCCUAUUAAAAAAAAGUUACAGCAUUGGCAAAAGACCACAUCUCUACCAUGUGCAUAUUGGUCUCAGUCUGUUACUUUUCUAACCACGUUAACCAAAAAACCUCAAAAUUUUAUUAAAUGAAUCAUUGUCAAAUUAGUUUUACUGAAUGUACUUGCAUAUUUUGACAAAAAUUAUCUCCACUUUUAAUUAUGUAUAUACGUAGUUUUAAAUUUCAAGGAACAACUUUGUCUUUAUAUUAACAAAAUGAAGGAAGAUAUUUGUACACUUUCAGAAUCUCACAACUUCAAAGAAUAAUUGAUGAAGCAGAAGGAAUUAAAAAUUUCAUUUCACUUCUUUUCCUACAUCUUUCUUUAUAUAUGUUUACUGUAAGUAUUUAAUUGAUGCGUCCUACCUUUCUUUGAUUUCGUGAUAGACUUGCAGUAUUUGCCAGAAGAAUUGGGUAAGUAUCUCUUUGAGGACUUCCGAGUCGGAUAAGUUGAGCUGUUAGAGAUUCCAUUAAGUAGGUGAUGAAGAAAUGAGGAUGAGUCAGCUAGGGAUCAUCAUGAUGAGCAAAUGGAGAAAAAAAGCUUUCUGAGCUGGAAUAAAGCCUUUAUGAUGCAUUAUUACAUUCAUGUACAAGGGAAAAAGAAGUUGAAUGUUUUGUUGAUAAGAAAAAAAAAGACAAAUCACUCCUACAUCAUCCAAAUGCCCCCAGCUCUGUUGUUAAACUCGGAUAACGGCGCGUCGCGACCCUUCGAAAUAUUGGAACGGAACGGGAACGCAGAAUGGAACGCAAAAUAUUGUAGGCAUAUUACACAUAUUGGUGUUCAACACAAGCAUGAUAUCAAUAUCCUAGAUAUGGACACCAUUUUAUCUUUUUCUUACCUUAUUACUACAAGAGAAUUUAGAAUGGUUAACAUAUAAGAAAGUUGGAAUGCCAGAUGAUAAACCUUGUUCUGUAGCUCCAUUUCAACAGUUGCUGUGAAUCUGAGGGGCUUUGGCUUGCUUAAUUACCACCAUCUCCAAAGGGUUGGCCGACAACAUGUCAUAUACACACACCAUGGAAUCUUGCUCCUCAAGAUACAUAAACCUUUCUCUCAGCCUCUAA